UGCCAGCCGCCGCGGUAAUACGGAGGGGGUUAGCGUUGUUCGGAAUUACUGGGCGUAAAGCGUACGUAGGCGGAUUAAUAAGUUAGAGGUGAAAUCCCAGGGCUCAACCCUGGAACUGCCUUUAAAACUACUAGUCUAGAGUUCGAGAGAGGUGAGUGGAAUUCCGAGUGUAGAGGUGAAAUUCGUAGAUAUUCGGAGGAACACCAGUGGCGAAGGCGGCUCACUGGCUCGAUACUGACGCUCAGGGACGAAAGCGUGGGGAUCAAACAGGAUUAGAUA
This 279-nucleotide ribosomal RNA is filed under the name uncultured bacterium. Its description in RNAcentral is "partial 16S ribosomal RNA". It matches the Rfam family "Bacterial small subunit ribosomal RNA", at positions 506 to 784 of the family's 1533-position model. The record is from RNAcentral.